RNAcentral lists this ribosomal RNA (429 nucleotides) under Acidobacteriota bacterium. RNAcentral's name for it is "Acidobacteria bacterium partial 16S ribosomal RNA". It matches the Rfam family "Bacterial small subunit ribosomal RNA", at positions 355 to 776 of the family's 1533-position model. The record is from RNAcentral. Lineage: Bacteria; Pseudomonadati; Acidobacteriota.
UGGGGAAUUUUGGACAAUGGGGGAAACCCUGAUCCAGCCAUCCCGCGUGUGCGAUGAAGGCAUUCGGGUUGUAAAGCACUUUUGGCAGGAAAGAAACGUCAUGGGUUAAUACCCCGUGAAACUGACGGUACCUGCAGAAUAAGCACCGGCUAACUACGUGCCAGCAGCCGCGGUAAUACGUAGGGUGCAAGCGUUAAUCGGAAUUACUGGGCGUAAAGCGUGCGCAGGCGGUUCGGAAAGAAAGAUGUGAAAUCCCAGAGCUCAACUUUGGAACUGCAUUUUUAACUACCGGGCUAGAGUGUGUCAGAGGGGGGUGGAAUUCCGCGUGUAGCAGUGAAAUGCGUAGAUAUGCGGAGGAACACCGAUAGCGAAGGCAGCCUCCUGGGAUAACACUGACGCUCAUGCACGAAAGCGUGGGGAGCAAACAGG